Glycine soja is the source of this 120-nucleotide non-coding RNA. The record is from Rfam. NCBI's taxonomy places the organism in Eukaryota, Viridiplantae, Streptophyta, Magnoliopsida, Fabales, Fabaceae.
UUUUUAUUGAAUGAUGACCGUCACAUGUCAUAUUCUGAUUGGAUGUCAACUCCAUGAAAGAUGAAAUACGUUGUUAUUUUCAUUAACCAAUCAGAACAUGACACGUGACAGUCAUCAUCC